Molecule: regulatory RNA element, 45 nt
Organism: Balearica pavonina (black crowned-crane)
Lineage: Eukaryota; Metazoa; Chordata; Aves; Gruiformes; Gruidae
Rfam family: Histone 3' UTR stem-loop
About the family: The mRNAs of metazoan histone genes lack a poly-A tail. 3' end processing occurs at a site between a highly conserved stem-loop (modelled by this family) and a purine rich region around 20 nts downstream (the histone downstream element, or HDE).
Source: Rfam
CCAACGGCUCUUUUAAGAGCCACCCAUGUCGUCUUAAAAGGGCUG